This 67-nucleotide transfer RNA is filed under the name Chromatomyia horticola (garden pea leafminer). RNAcentral's name for it is "tRNA-Tyr". It matches the Rfam family "tRNA". Rfam says of the family: Transfer RNA (tRNA) molecules are approximately 80 nucleotides in length. Their secondary structure includes four short double-helical elements and three loops (D, anti-codon, and T loops). Further hydrogen bonds mediate the characteristic L-shaped molecular structure. tRNAs have two regions of fundamental functional importance: the anti-codon, which is responsible for specific mRNA codon recognition, and the 3' end, to which the tRNAs corresponding amino acid is attached (by aminoacyl-tRNA synthetases). tRNAs cope with the degeneracy of the genetic code in two manners: having more than one tRNA (with a specific anti-codon) for a particular amino acid; and 'wobble' base-pairing, i.e. permitting non-standard base-pairing at the 3rd anti-codon position. The record is from RNAcentral. Lineage: Eukaryota; Metazoa; Arthropoda; Insecta; Diptera; Agromyzidae.
GAUUAAAUGGCUGAUAAAAGCGGUAAACUGUAAAUUUAUAUAUAAGAAUUAAAUUUCUUUUUAAUCA